GAUGAAGAACGCAGCGAAAUGCGAUAAGUAAUGUGAAUUGCAGAAUUCAGUGAAUCAUCGAAACUUUGAACGCACAUUGCGCCCGCCAGUAUUCUGGCGGGCAUGCCUGUCCGAGCGUCAUUUCAACCCUCGAACCCCUCCGGGGGGUCGGCGUUGGGGAUCGGCACUUACCUGCCGGCCCCGAAAUACAGUGGCGGUCUCGCCGCAGCCUCUCCUGCGCAGUAGUUUGCACACUCGCACCGGGAGCGCGGCGCGUCCACGGCCGUAAAACAACCCAAACUUCUGAAAUGUUGACCUCGGAUCAGGUAGGAAUACCCGCUGAACUUAAGCAUAUCAAUAGCGGAGGA
RNAcentral lists this unclassified non-coding RNA (347 nucleotides) under soil metagenome. Its description in RNAcentral is "partial contains 5.8S ribosomal RNA, internal transcribed spacer 2, and large subunit ribosomal RNA". The stretch from base 1 to 120 matches the Rfam family "5.8S ribosomal RNA", at positions 35 to 154 of the family's 154-position model. The record is from RNAcentral.